CCAGAAGUCGCCGUGACACGAGCCGCGUUAGAACACCCAGUGCUGGGAGCCCCACUCACCGCUCAGACGGUGAGACAGGGACCCACCACUGAAACGUUCUACGUCAGACAGGGAGGAGGAGGCCCCCAAAGUGAGGGAGAGAGCAUGCCUGUUGUGCCAGCGAUCAGACACUGACCCGGACAUCUGCGAAGAGGAAACUUUGUGCCCACGAGUUCUGCCUGGUUUUGCCAACCAUUUCCUCAGCACCCCCUGGGUCAAGUAGGACUCCAGGGCUUUCUGCCAAGGAAUAUCCUAGAUGUAGUCUCCCGGGUGGCACAGAAGGGACAGGCUCUGCGCUCUGGUGUUUCAUCCCUCCAGUGCCCCCUCUGCAUUUAUCAGACAUUUAUCAAG
This is a long non-coding RNA of Myiozetetes cayanensis, 390 nucleotides long. RefSeq lists it as uncharacterized. The record is from RefSeq and is a predicted model, not a curated record. NCBI's taxonomy places the organism in Eukaryota, Metazoa, Chordata, Aves, Passeriformes, Tyrannidae. The transcript has 4 exons.